UGGGGAAUAUUGCACAAUGGGCGAAAGCCUGAUGCAGCGACGCCGCGUGAGGGAUGACGGCCUUCGGGUUGUAAACCUCUUUCAGCAGGGACGAAGCGCAAGUGACGGUACCUGCAGAAGAAGCACCGGCUAACUACGUGCCAGCAGCCGCGGUAAUACGUAGGGUUCAAGCGUUGUCCGGAAUUACUGGGCGGAAAGAGUUCGUAGGCGGUUUGUCGCUUCGUUUGUGAAAACCAGGAGCUGAACUGCUGGCUUGCAGGCGAUACGGGCAGACUUGAGUACUGCAGGGGAGACUGGAAUUCCUGGUGUAGCGGUGAAAUGCGCAGAUAUCAGGAGGAACACCGGUGGCGAAGGCGGGUCUCUGGGCAGUAACUGACGCUGAGGAACGAAAGCGUGGGUAGCGAACAGG
This 409-nucleotide ribosomal RNA is filed under the name bacterium. Its description in RNAcentral is "partial 16S ribosomal RNA". It matches the Rfam family "Bacterial small subunit ribosomal RNA", at positions 355 to 776 of the family's 1533-position model. The record is from RNAcentral.